Molecule: ribosomal RNA, 587 nt
Filed under: uncultured Herbaspirillum sp.
Lineage: Bacteria; Pseudomonadati; Pseudomonadota; Betaproteobacteria; Burkholderiales; Oxalobacteraceae
Description: bacterial SSU rRNA
Rfam family: Bacterial small subunit ribosomal RNA
Source: RNAcentral
UGGCGAACGGGUGAGUAAUAUAUCGGAACGUGCCCUAGAGUGGGGGAUACUAGUCGAAAGAUUAGCUAAUACCGCAUACGAUCUACGGAUGAAAGUGGGGGAUCGCAAGACCUCAUGCUCCUGGAGCGGCCGAUAUCUAUUAGCUAGUUGGUGGGGUAAAAGCCUACCAAGGCGACGAUCAGUAGCUGGUCUGAGAGGACGACCAGCCACACUGGGACUGAGACACGGCCCAGACUCCUACGGGAGGCAGCAGUGGGGAAUUUUGGACAAUGGGGGCAACCCUGAUCCAGCAAUGCCGCGUGAGUGAGAAGGCCUUCGGGUUGUAAAGCUCUUUUGUCAGGGAAGAAACGUGGUAGCUAAUAUCUACUACUAAUGACGGUACCUGAAGAAUAAGCACCGGCUAACUACGUGCCAGCAGCCGCGGUAAUACGUAGGGUGCAAGCGUUAAUCGGAAUUACUGGGCGUAAAGCGUGCGCAGGCGGUUGUGUAAGUCAGAUGUGAAAUCCCCGGGCUCAACCUGGGAAUUGCAUUUGAGACUGCACGGCUAGAGUGUGUCAGAGGGGGGUAGAAUUCCACGUGUAGCAGUG